Molecule: unclassified non-coding RNA, 1413 nt
Filed under: Hevea brasiliensis (rubber tree)
Lineage: Eukaryota; Viridiplantae; Streptophyta; Magnoliopsida; Malpighiales; Euphorbiaceae
Source: RNAcentral
AUUACCAGGAAGAAUUGGCACCUGCCAAAGAAUGGGCAAGAAAAAAAGAACCUUCCCUUUAUUAGAGAGUGUCAUAUUAUCUUGAAUCACAAACGUAUUUGCACAUGUAACAUAUGAAAGUGCAGAGUCUGCUAAUUUAACAGGGAAAAAGCUGAGGGUACAAUGGAUAUGCAGUCUAAGCAUGAAAAAGAUUUAUUUACUUGAGUAAAAAGGUGUCUGUUAUUAGUUUUAUUCAUAAGCCCACAAUCAACAAGACCAGAGAGAUUCCUCUUCCAGUAUCACAGGAAAAAAAAGUAUGAGCAUUAAUUAUCAUAAACAAUCCAGUAUCAAUUAGUUCCAACAGAUUUGUUCACUUAACUAUGUCUUAUUCCAAAAUUACUUAGUUCGAAAAUAUCAAUGUUCCUCCAGAGUGCAAAGAAUAUUCUUUUGUAUGUAUGUGACUAUAUUCAAUUUUCUUCAUUAAGCAAUUUCACAUUGGGUUAAUCACAAGAAAAAACUAGUGGAGUUCAGCAUUAGACGUGUUUAUCGUUCUGUUUUCAAAAAAAGAAAGUAACGAGGUUUUCAAAAAUUAGGAGUUUUUGUCCAGAACCAAUUGGAAAUUGAAAGAUGGCAUCCCUUACUAAUUAAGGCUAUAUUUGGUAAGAUGUAGUUGAAGCAUAAUGUAAUCAAAUAUAUAAUAAAAUGAAAAAUGUAAUGGAACGGACCAAAAAUUUUCAUUCCUAUAUUUAGUUUAUUUGAUAGUGAUGGUCACAACGAAGUGGUAGUGAUGUUUGUAGUUGCUGGAGGGUGGCGGCAACGGCUAGAUGGGAGAAGGAUAAGGGUAGCAACAGUGGCAAUGGCUGGUUCACGGCAGAAGUGAUAGGGAGAAGGAUGGUGAUGAUAGUAUAAGGUUCUGGUGGUGGAGUGAUGGAAGUAAAAAUAAGUAAUGAAACAAACGAAGCAAUCACAAUUAAUUACAUACUUUCAUAUGUAGUGAGCCUUAUAUUAACCAAAGUAGUGGUAAGCCAGUCGAGGAGUAGCUUAAUUGCUCUUUCUCUGCUUAAUUGUAUUGAAUUUGAAUAUCUUCAUCUAGGAUUUAUUAUGUAAUGAUUGGCCUAAUAAUUCACAUUAUAUGCCUAGCCAGGUUUGGCAAGUAACUAAAGCUGUAUCACUCGGACAAACUCAGGUUUGAGUCCUACUCCCAAUCCCCUACCAAAAAAUAAAUAAAUAAUUCAGAUUAUAUUACAAUAAAUUAUUUUUUUCUAAGCAAGCAAAGGAACAAGUCAUUACAAUUUUGACUUGCCUAGUAACAUCAAUUGGUGUGAAAAAACCAAAAAAGAUAUUAAUAUUAAUAGUAAUAGUAAUAUUAAUGAAUCUGUAAAGCAAAUGAAAAAAUAAAUCAAGAAAAAUACCUGAGCGAGAAAUCCAUCAUAU